Oncorhynchus tshawytscha (Chinook salmon) is the source of this 531-nucleotide long non-coding RNA. The record is from Ensembl. Lineage: Eukaryota; Metazoa; Chordata; Actinopteri; Salmoniformes; Salmonidae.
GGGUUUGUCAGUUGGCAUUGGCUCAGAACUAGAGAUAUAGUCCUCAGUCAGCAAGUGAUGUUUUACAGCGCAGUCGACUACGAUCUUAACCGGCAGAUUUUCUGAGUGCUUCGUGACCCAGGAGAGGAGGAAAGGGGUGUAAAGGGAUAGUUCACCCAAAUUACAUUUUGGCGUCCUUACCCUUUAAAUCCAAAGGCCUCAUUUGGAAGCGACACAAUGGCACAUACAGCACUGUAAAGAUAAGACCGACAAGCUACAGCACUGUAGAGGUAAAGACGACAGGCUACAGCACUGUAGAGGUAAAGACGACAGACAGGCUACAGCGCUGUGGAGGUAAAGACGACAGACAGGCUACAGCGCUGUGGAGGUAAAGACGACAGACAGGCUACAGCGCUGUGGAGGUAAAGACGACAGACAGGCUACAGCGCUGUGGAGGUCAAGACGACAGGCAGGCUACAACGCUGUGGAGGUAAAGAUGACCUAGAUGUGUGACUGGAGAGCAUUCUUAAAUCUCCCAAUCAAUGCUGCUUG